UUUCUUAUCUUGUAGACAUUUCCUGUUAUGUUUUUAUGGAAUAAUUGGCAAUUGGCAUGACUUAGUUUUUGCAAGGAGUUGAAAAAUUUAAGAGUUAAAGGUAAUAUCUAUAUCUUAUAUAAAGAUCUUUCUUGAUUGAAUCUUCCUGUAUAUUAAGACUUUAGAAGUUUCACCACGGAGGUGAUGGUGAUGAGUUUGUCAGAAUAUUAUUUCAUCAUUUGAAAAGAUUGUGCAGUAUAGAGAGGCUAGAUAGAACACUAGUAAGGUUUAUGAUGCCAUCAUCAACCGAAAAGUAUGUAGAUUGGAAUAAAGACUCAUUUUUUAAAUUAAUUAUAUCUUUAUAGGUGAAAAAAAGAUCAUAUCUAACUCUUAAAUGCCACCAUCUUUGUUUCAUUGUAGAGAGGGCUGAUGUUUAAGUUUCAAUUUCCCAUCUUGGUUGAUUGCUAGUUAACUAUGUGUUGGUAAUCAUUAUCAUAGUAUUUUAAAGAGAUUUAUUCAAUUAUCAUACUUGAGUACCGCUGCUAGUUGUCUUACAGCAAUAGGUUGGAUAUUAUAUAUAGGGAGCUUUUGUAACAUUACUCUUGUGCUUCCAGAGACUGGUUUAUGAAUGACUUUUGGGGAUUUGAGAUUUUGAUUUAUGCAGAAAUUUUGGGACUGUUUUAUUCAUGUAUUAAUUAAGCUUGUUUUGUUGUCUGUUUUAGAUCAUCAAACACUGCUACAAAUGUCAUUCAGACACCUUCACAAGCUAAGUGAGUUUGAUUCUAAUAAAUCUCCGACACGAUCACAUCAGUCAAUUAUUUAUUCAAUGCCUUUCACUUCUCUUCACUUUUUUACAAGAAGAUUUGAGAGGUUAGACUAUGUGUGGGUUUAAAAUAAUAUUGAAUGUUGUAUUGAAAAGUGUGGAUGUGUUGAUUAUUUCAAUUGAGUAUUAUUGAAAUUCCUUGAUAGCUUUGUGAUAUUGGUUGUUGUUGGCUUUAUUUUCUCUAAGUUGUCAAUUUUAUUAAGCUUUUUUGUUGAGCUGAGUUUAUCUUCUUUUUUUUUCCUUUUCAGAAUUAAAAGGUCUGAGGACAUCCCUGUGGAAAUAUGGAGAGGAUUGAUUCAACCCAGCGAUUUUAAGAAUCGUCUCCUGAAACCAACUUAUGAGUUAACUGUUAAAGGAGGAGACAAAGUUAAGCAUACAAAUUGAAGGAAUUGAGGUUACAAGUAUAAAUUUGUAACUUUAUGGUUUAUAAUUGAUGAUUCUAGGUAUAUAUUAACUCUACUAUUAUGGAAUGAUUUUAGUAUAUAUAAGUAUAAUUUAUGCUAUUAGGUGUAUGAUACUCUAUUAUUAUAGUAUGAUGAUUUUAGUGUAGAAGUAUAAUUUUNN
RNAcentral lists this long non-coding RNA (1366 nucleotides) under Trifolium pratense (red clover). RNAcentral describes it as "long non-coding RNA (TPRA_LNC004341)". Lineage: Eukaryota; Viridiplantae; Streptophyta; Magnoliopsida; Fabales; Fabaceae. The record is from RNAcentral.